This 728-nucleotide ribosomal RNA is filed under the name uncultured eukaryote. Its description in RNAcentral is "SSU rRNA". It matches the Rfam family "Eukaryotic small subunit ribosomal RNA", at positions 670 to 1426 of the family's 1831-position model. The record is from RNAcentral.
CGGAUGCACUGGUCCGGCCGGGCCUUUCCCUCUGUGGAACCCCAUGCCCUUCACUGGGUGUGGUGGGGAAGCAGGACUUUUACUUUGAAAAAAUUAGAGUGCUCCAAGCAGGCCUAUGCUCGAAUACCUCAGCAUGGAAUAAUGGAAUAGGACGUGUGGUUCUAUUUCGUUGGUUUCUAGGACCGCCGUAAUGAUUAAUAGGGACAGUCGGGGGCAUCCGUAUUCAGUGGCUAGAGGUGAAAUUCUCAGAUUCUCUGAAGACGAACUACUGCGAAAGCAUUUGCCAAGGAUGUUUUCAUUGAUAAGGAACGAAAGUUGGGGGAUCGAAGACGAUCAGAUACCGUCGUAGUCUCAACUAUAAACUAUGCCAACUAGGGAUCGGACGAUGUUAUUUGAUGACUCGUUCGGCACCUUUCGAGAAAUCAAAGUGCUUGGGCUCCAGGGGGAGUAUGGUCGCAAGGCUGAAACUUAAAGAAAUUGACGGAAGGGCACCACCAGGGGUGGAGCCUGCGGCUUAAUUUGACUCAACACGGGGAAACUCACCAGGUCCAGACACUGUGAGGAUUGACAGAUUGAGAGCUCUUUCUUGAUUCAGUGGGUGGUGGUGCAUGGCCGUUCUUAGUUGGUGGAGUGAUUUGUCUGCCUAAUCGCGAUAACGAACGAGACCUUGACCACUAAAUAGCCCGUACUGCCUCGGCAGUUCGCUGGCUUCUUAGUGGGACUAUCGG